Molecule: ribosomal RNA, 533 nt
Filed under: Crocidura olivieri (Olivier's shrew)
Lineage: Eukaryota; Metazoa; Chordata; Mammalia; Eulipotyphla; Soricidae
Description: partial 16S ribosomal RNA
Rfam family: Bacterial large subunit ribosomal RNA
Source: RNAcentral
CACCUCUAGCAUUACCAGUAUUAGAGGCACUGCCUGCCCAGUGACAUUAGUUAAACGGCCGCGGUAUCCUGACCGUGCAAAGGUAGCAUAAUCAUUUGUUCCUUAAUUAGGGACUUGUAUGAAUGGCCCCACGAGGGUUUAACUGUCUCUUACUUUUAAUCAGUGAAAUUGACCUUCCCGUGAAGAGGCGGGGAUACAAAAAUAAGACGAGAAGACCCUAUGGAGCUUAAAUUAAUAUGUUCAACAGAAUUUAAUUAUAAUCCAAUAGGAAUAAAAAUAUUCUAACUGAACAAUAAAUUUUGGUUGGGGUGACCUCGGAGUAUAACAUAACCUCCGAGCAAUUAAACCAAGACUUACCAGUCAAGGCUAUAUGACUUAUUGAUCCAAUCUUAUUGAUCAACGAAACAAGUUACCCUAGGGAUAACAGCGCAAUCCUAUUUAAGAGUUCAUAUCGACAAUAGGGUUUACGACCUCGAUGUUGGAUCAGGACACCCAAAUGGUGCAGCAGCUAUUAAAGGUUCGUUUGUUCAACG